RNAcentral lists this ribosomal RNA (345 nucleotides) under uncultured Rhodocyclaceae bacterium. Its description in RNAcentral is "bacterial SSU rRNA". It matches the Rfam family "Bacterial small subunit ribosomal RNA", at positions 1036 to 1382 of the family's 1533-position model. The record is from RNAcentral. Lineage: Bacteria; Pseudomonadati; Pseudomonadota; Betaproteobacteria; Rhodocyclales; Rhodocyclaceae.
AGGUGCUGCAUGGCUGUCGUCAGCUCGUGUCGUGAGAUGUUGGGUUAAGUCCCGCAACGAGCGCAACCCUUGUCAUUAGUUGCCAUCAUUUAGUUGGGCACUCUAAUGAGACUGCCGGUGACAAACCGGAGGAAGGUGGGGAUGACGUCAAGUCCUCAUGGCCCUUAUGGGUAGGGCUUCACACGUCAUACAAUGGUCGGUACAGAGGGUUGCCAAGCCGCGAGGUGGAGCCAAUCCCAGAAAGCCGAUCGUAGUCCGGAUCGGAGUCUGCAACUCGACUCCGUGAAGUCGGAAUCGCUAGUAAUCGUGGAUCAGCAUGCCACGGUGAAUACGUUCCCGGGUCUU